Long non-coding RNA from Daucus carota subsp. sativus, 1566 nucleotides. RefSeq lists it as uncharacterized. The record is from RefSeq and is a predicted model, not a curated record. The transcript has 2 exons. Lineage: Eukaryota; Viridiplantae; Streptophyta; Magnoliopsida; Apiales; Apiaceae.
AUAUAUGACUAGAAGUAAGUACUUGUCAUAGAUCUGUAUAUAGGAAACAGAUCGAUCUGUUAUUUCAUUAUACAGAAAUCAAAACCGAAAAAAGAGAAAUAGGAAUGGAUCAUUUCAGCCACGAGCAUCCACUGAUCCUGAAUGAAGAUUACAUUGCUAGAGGGGGUGAUAUGUGUAAUGCCUGCAACGAAGAGAUCGUCUCAUGUAAGUCAUUUGUUUUCAGUUGCAGCAGCAUCACGGGCAUCCCAGGUACUGAUAACAAGGAUGUUGAUGAAGAAUGUAUUAAAUUCUUACUCCACAAAACGUGUGCAGAGUCGCCCCUUAGAAUUGAAAGCCUAAGAAACCGAGAAGAGUUCCUUGACCUCCAUAUCAAUCCCCAUCACCAAACACAGUUAGAUUACUUUUUGAACCGUCCAGGUGAUAUUUAUCCCUGUAACAUGUGUAUGAAACAAAUGCCAUGGAUUUACCACAGUCCUGGUUUUGUAUUCUGUGUUUGCCUUAAAUGUGCCAUGUUCCAAGUUGAUUCUUUCAGAUGCCUUAAAUUUAUGCAUCAAUCUCACACUCAACACCAACUAGCCUUAAUCCAACGUCCAUCUUCAUUCAAAUGUGAUGCUUGCAACAUGGAGGAUAGUACUAAAGACAUGUCAUAUAAAUGUGUGGAUUGUCCGUUUUGGAUGCACAAGAGCUGUGCUGAUGCUCCUACCUCUUUCGUAUUUCAUUUUCACCAAAAACACCCUCUUAUGCUCUCAUUUUCUUUGCCACAAGUUUAUCAUAAAUUUGCACAGCAUUGCAGACUCUGCAAUGGAAAGCUGGGUGAAUUAAAUUGGCUUUACUAUUGUUCCAAAUGCAGAUAUUUCGCCCAUUUUCAAUGUGCUAGAUCAAGGCAGAUGUUGAGCUCCUCUGAAAACGAAGAAUAUCCCGAUCUUGUGCACCUCCCAGAAGCUACUGAAUCAUCUGUAAAUUUAUUGUGUGAGCAAUUUAUCAAGCGGAUGAGUAGUCCAAAGAACGAGCAAGGAUGUAGCACAAGAGGUCGUCUUAAAUUAAAGAUUGGGCUCAUGGUAAACAUCACCUGCAGCUUGUUACACAGUUGAUGAGUUAAACGAUAAGAAAGAUAUAUUGGUCGUCUUUUGUUUCAUCUCAGAUGUUAUGAUAAAUCAUGUUAUCUCGACUUGUCACAUGUCAAGUUUGGUGCUACUCAUAUUAUUAAAGACCGACUCCAUCGGCACAGCCUCACAUUUGUAUUCAACAAGAAGUUUCGUCGUUGCGGAAAAUGUCACCAGGGUAAUAUUGGCAGGCCUGUCCUUGAAUGUGCACCAUGCAAAACCAUAUUUUGUGGGGAUUGCUCCGGAAUGUUUAAAUAUGUGUUUUGAAAUAGAUGAUUAGACUUUAAAAAAAAAAACAUGUGUUAAAAAAGUCAAAAUGACCUAUAUUUUAAAACAAAGAAAAGGGAGUGAUUGGAGUUCUUGUAUUAGGUUUUGGUAUUGUGUUAUAACUCUUCAAAAUUGUUCUUUUUUUGUAAUCUCAUUAAUAAAUGAGUAUACCUCUAGCUAGUCUGAGACUUGUGCA